This is a non-coding RNA of Vigna umbellata (rice bean), 408 nucleotides long. Lineage: Eukaryota; Viridiplantae; Streptophyta; Magnoliopsida; Fabales; Fabaceae. The record is from RefSeq and is a predicted model, not a curated record.
AGUUGUCUAUCUCAUUUGUGGUUUGUUUCUAUUUAUCUGAAGAUUUUAUAUGAAUUGAUGUGCUAUUUUUUAUUUGUUAGGAUUUAGCAUUUGAUUUGUCCCUCUCUGCCCUUCUUGGGGACAACAUCUACAACUUUGGAGAGCUACUUGCCCAUCCUAUAAUCAAGAGCCUUCUGGGGACAAAAGUGGAAUGGCUUUACUAUAUUCUGCAGGCAUUCAAUUCUGGUGAUUUAGUGCGAUAUCAAGAAUUGUGUCGGGUGCAUAAUGCUGCUUUAAGUGCCCAACCAGCACUGGUUCAAAAUGAACAGAAGUUGUUGGAGAAGAUCAACAUUCUCUGUCUGAUGGAGAUUAUAUUCAGUCGGCCUUCAGAAGAUCGAACUAUUCCGUUGAGUGUAAUUGCUGAGCGUA